AGAGUUUGAUCCUGGCUCAGAAUGAACGCUGGCGGCGUGCCUAACACAUGCAAGUCGCACGAGAACCCCUGUAGCAAUACGGGGUAGUAAAGUGGCGUACGGGUGAGUAGCGCGUAGGUAAUCUACCUUCAAAAUUGGGAUAACAUUGCGAAAGCGAUGCUAAUACCGAAUGACAUGGUUAAAGUGAAGGCUUUAACGAUGAAAGACAGCCUCUGCAUGCAAGCUGUUGUUUGGAGAGGAGCCUGCGUACCAUUAGCUAGUUGGCAGGGUAAAGGCCCACCAAGGCGACGACGGGUACCCGGGCUAAGAGGCUGACCGGGCACAUCGGCACUGAGACACUGGCCGGACACCUACGGGUGGCUGCAGUUCGGAAUAUUGGGCAAUGGGCGCAAGCCUGACCCAGCGACGCCGCGUGGAGGAUGAAGGCCCUCUGGGUUGUAAACUUCUGUCACGGGUGAACAAAUCGGUUCAAGUUAACACCUUGAGCCGUUGAGCUUAGCCUGGGAGGAAGCCCCCGCUAAUCACGUGCCAGCAGCGGCGGUAAUACGUGAGGGGCAAACGUUGUUCGGUGUCACUGGGCUUAAAGGGUGCGUAGGCGGCUGUGCAAGUAAGGUGUGAAAGCCCUCGGCUUACCCGGGGAACUGCGCCUUAAACUGCAUGGCUUGAGGGCCACAGGGGUUGGAGGAACUCCGGUGUAGCGGUGAAAUGCGUAGAUUUGGGAGGAACACCGGUGCGACGUCCAACUGGGUGGUACCUGACGCUAGCACGAAACGUGGGGAGCAAACAGGAUAGAUACCCUGGUAGUC
RNAcentral lists this ribosomal RNA (806 nucleotides) under uncultured bacterium. RNAcentral describes it as "bacterial SSU rRNA". It matches the Rfam family "Bacterial small subunit ribosomal RNA", at positions 8 to 795 of the family's 1533-position model. The record is from RNAcentral.